This 910-nucleotide ribosomal RNA is filed under the name uncultured bacterium. RNAcentral describes it as "bacterial SSU rRNA". It matches the Rfam family "Bacterial small subunit ribosomal RNA", at positions 33 to 925 of the family's 1533-position model. The record is from RNAcentral.
ACGCUGGCGGCGUGCCUAAUACAUGCAAGUAGAACGCUGAAGAGAGGAGCUUGCUCUUCUUGGAUGAGUUGCGAACGGGUGAGUAACGCGUAGGUAACCUGCCUUGUAGCGGGGGAUAACUAUUGGAAACGAUAGCUAAUACCGCAUAACAAUAGGUGACACAUGUCAUUUAUUUGAAAGGGGCAAUUGCUCCACUACAAGAUGGACCUGCGUUGUAUUAGCUAGUAGGUGAGGUAACGGCUCACCUAGGCGACGAUACAUAGCCGACCUGAGAGGGUGAUCGGCCACACUGGGACUGAGACACGGCCCAGACUCCUACGGGAGGCAGCAGUAGGGAAUCUUCGGCAAUGGGGGCAACCCUGACCGAGCAACGCCGCGUGAGUGAAGAAGGUCUUCGGAUCGUAAAGCUCUGUUGUAAGUCAAGAACGAGUGUGAGAGUGGAAAGUUCACACUGUAACGGUAGCUUACCAGAAAGGGACGGCUAACUACGUGCCAGCAGCCGCGGUAAUACGUAGGUCCCGAGCGUUGUCCGGAUUUAUUGGGCGUAAAGCGAGCGCAGGCGGUUUGAUAAGUCUGAAGUUAAAGGCUGUGGCUCAACCAUAGUUCGCUUUGGAAACUGUCAAGCUUGAGUGCAGAAGGGGAGAGUGGAAUUCCAUGUGUAGCGGUGAAAUGCGUAGAUAUAUGGAGGAACACCGGUGGCGAAAGCGGCUCUCUGGUCUGUAACUGACGCUGAGGCUCGAAAGCGUGGGGAGCGAACAGGAUUAGAUACCCUGGUAGUCCACGCCGUAAACGAUGAGUGCUAGGUGUUGGAUCCUUUCCGGGAUUCAGUGCCGCAGCUAACGCAUUAAGCACUCCGCCUGGGGAGUACGACCGCAAGGUUGAAACUCAAAGGAAUUGACGGGGGCCCGCA